This 220-nucleotide ribosomal RNA is filed under the name uncultured bacterium. RNAcentral describes it as "partial 16S ribosomal RNA". It matches the Rfam family "Bacterial small subunit ribosomal RNA", at positions 524 to 743 of the family's 1533-position model. The record is from RNAcentral.
UACGUAGGGUGCGAGCGUUGUCCGGAAUUAUUGGGCGUAAAGAGCUCGUAGGCGGCUUGUCGCGUCGUCCGUGAAAACCUGCGGCUCAACUGCAGGCUGGCGGUCGAUACGGGCAGGCUGGAGUUCGGUAGGGGAGACUGGAAUUCCUGGUGUAGCGGUGAAAUGCGCAGAUAUCAGGAGGAACACCAAUGGCGAAGGCAGCACUCUGGGACGGUACUGG